AGGGAAUCUUCCACAAUGGACGCAAGUCUGAUGGAGCAACGCCGCGUGAGUGAAGAAGGUUUUCGGACCGUAAAGCUCUGUUGUUGGUGAAGAAGGAUAGAGGUAGUAACUGGCCCUUUAUUUGACGGUAAUCAACCAGAAAGUCAUGGCUAACUACGUGCCAGCAGCCGCGGUAAUACGUAGGUGGCAAGCGUUGUCCGGAUUUAUUGGGCGUAAAGCGAGCGCAGGCGGAAGAAUAAGUCUGAUGUGAAAGCCCUCGGCUUAACCGAGGAAUUGCAUCGGAAACUGUUUUUCUUGAGUGCAGAAGAGGAGAGUAGAACUCCAUGUGUAGCGGUGGAAUGCGUAGAUAUAUGGAAGAAUACCAGUGGCGAAGGCGGCUCUCUGGUCUGCAACUGACGCUGAGGCUCGAAAGCAUGGGUAGCGAACAGGAUUAGAUACCCUGGUAGUCCAUGCCGUAAACGAUGAGUGC
This 469-nucleotide ribosomal RNA is filed under the name uncultured bacterium. RNAcentral describes it as "partial 16S ribosomal RNA". It matches the Rfam family "Bacterial small subunit ribosomal RNA", at positions 356 to 816 of the family's 1533-position model. The record is from RNAcentral.